GGCUAGUGUGGCGNUAAGUUCUAGUGGAUCCUAUAGGGCGAUUGCGCCCUAUGCAACAUGCUGCCCGGGCGCCAUGGCCUUGGCAUUAGAGUUUGACCCUGGCUCAGAAUCAACGCUGGCGGCGUGCCUAACAUUGCCCGCCGAGCGAGAAAGUCGGCAAGGAUGAGUAAAGCGGCGAACGGGUGAGUAACAGGUAGGUUACCUACCUCUCAGUUUGGGACAACCUGUCGAAAGAUGGGCUAAUACCGAAUAAGACCACAGUAUCUUCGGGUACAGUGGUAAAAGAUGGCCUCUUCAUGAACGCUAUCGCUAAUAGAUGGGCCUGCGCACCAUUAGCUAGUUGGUAGGGUAAUGGCCUACGAAGGCUACGAUGGUUAGCUGAUCUGAGAGGAUGAUCAGCCAGGCUGGAACUGAAAGACGGUCCAGACUCCUACGGGAGGCAGCAGGGGGGAAUAUUGCGCAAUGGGGGAAACGCUGAGGCAACAACGCCGCGUGAGUGACGAAGGACUUUUGGUGGUAGAGCUCUGUUGGAGGGAAAGAAACGAUGGAUGGAUACUAUCGAUGGAAAUUGAGUGGUGAGUGGAAGGUAAGAUUAACUAAGUCCGUGGAAGUAGGGUUAAUAGAAGGGGGGGUAAUAGAGACGGAAAACUGUAAGGGGGAAGGAGGGUCUUGGGGAUAAUUGAAUGAAGUAAGAAGAAGGAUGGUAAGAGGAAAGGAGAAUAGGUAUGAGUGUAUGGGUCAUAAGAGAGAGUUUUGGGAUUGUAGUAGGGUUGUGGAUUAGGUUGUGGGUCGGGAGGAAGAGAAGAAGGAGGCGGAGUUGUGAGGAUGUAAGGGGGUUCCUCGGUUUGUUCUUGUUGUGAGGUGUGGAUCUAUAUUAUUCGUUGAAGCAUAGCGGGAUUGUGUGUAGUUGG
Molecule: ribosomal RNA, 911 nt
Filed under: uncultured delta proteobacterium
Lineage: Bacteria; Deltaproteobacteria
Description: bacterial SSU rRNA
Rfam family: Bacterial small subunit ribosomal RNA (bases 89-581)
Source: RNAcentral